Molecule: ribosomal RNA, 530 nt
Filed under: Salmonella enterica subsp. enterica serovar Enteritidis
Lineage: Bacteria; Pseudomonadati; Pseudomonadota; Gammaproteobacteria; Enterobacterales; Enterobacteriaceae
Description: partial 23S ribosomal RNA
Rfam family: Bacterial large subunit ribosomal RNA
Source: RNAcentral
AAUCCAUAGGUUAAUGAGGCGAACCGGGGGAACUGAAACAUCUAAGUACCCCGAGGAAAAGAAAUCAACCGAGAUUCCCCCAGUAGCGGCGAGCGAACGGGGAGGAGCCCAGAGCCUGAAUCAGCAUGUGUGUUAGUGGAAGCGUCUGGAAAGGCGCGCGAUACAGGGUGACAGCCCCGUACACAAAAGCGCAUGUGCUGUGAGCUCGAUGAGUAGGGCGGGACACGUGGUAUCCUGUCUGAAUAUGGGGGGACCAUCCUCCAAGGCUAAAUACUCCUGACUGACCGAUAGUGAACCAGUACCGUGAGGGAAAGGCGAAAAGAACCCCGGCGAGGGGAGUGAAAAAGAACCUGAAACCGUGUACGUACAAGCAGUGGGAGCACCCUUUGGGUGUGACUGCGUACCUUUUGUAUAAUGGGUCAGCGACUUAUAUUCUGUAGCAAGGUUAACCGAAUAGGGGAGCCGGAGGGAAACCGAGUCUUAACCGGGCGUUAAGUUGCAGGGUAUAGACCCGAAACCCGGUGAUCUAG